GGCGUGCUUAACACAUGCAAGUCGAACGAGAAAGAUUUCUUCGGAAAUUGAGUAGAGUGGCGCACGGGUGAGUAACGCGUAGGUAAUCUACCCUAAUAUUUGGGAUAACAUUGGGAAACUGGUGCUAAUACCGAAUACCCUUCUUUUCUGUCGGGUUAAGGAGGAAAGGUGGCCUCUUCAUGAAAGCUACCGUAUAAGGAUGAGCCUGCGUACCAUUAGCUAGUAGGUGGGGUAAAGGCCCACCUAGGCUACGAUGGUUAGCGGGUCUGAGAGGAUGAUCCGCCACACUGGAACUGGAACACGGACCAGACUCCUACGGGAGGCAGCAGUGAGGAAUAUUGCGCAAUGGGGGAAACCCUGACGCAGCGACGCCGCGUGAGUGAAGAAGGUUUUCGGAUCGUAAAGCUCUGUCAGAAGGGAAGAAAUGCUGCAUGGUUAAUACCCAUGCAGUUUGACGGUACCUUCAGAGGAAGCACCGGCUAACUCCGUGCCAGCAGCCGCGGUAAUACGGAGGGUGCAAGCGUUGUUCGGAAUUACUGGGCGUAAAGGGCGCGCAGGCGGCCUGAUAAGUCAGAUGUGAAAGUCCAUGGCUCAACCGUGGAAGUGCAUUUGAAACUGUCUGGCUUGAGUAUCGGAGGGGAGUGUGGAAUUCCCGGUGUAGAGGUGAAAUUCGUAGAAAUCGGGAGGAACACCGGUGGCGAAGGCGACACUCUGGACGAAUACUGACCCUGAGG
RNAcentral lists this ribosomal RNA (734 nucleotides) under uncultured delta proteobacterium. RNAcentral describes it as "bacterial SSU rRNA". It matches the Rfam family "Bacterial small subunit ribosomal RNA", at positions 41 to 751 of the family's 1533-position model. The record is from RNAcentral. Lineage: Bacteria; Deltaproteobacteria.